UUCCGGUUGAUCCUGCCAGAGGUUACUGCUAUCGGAGUUCGAUUAAGCCAUGCGAGUCUAAAGGUUUCUUCGGAAACCUUGGCGGACUGCUCAGUAACACGUGGAUAACCUGCCCUUGGGACUGGAAUAACCCCGGGAAACUGGGGAUAAUACCGGAUAGAUCAGGGAUGCUGGAAUGCACCUUGAUCCAAAGCUCCGGCGCCCAAGGAUGGGUCUGCGGCCUAUCAGGUAGUAGUGGGUGUAACGUACCUACUAGCCAACGACGGGUACGGGUUGUGAGAGCAAGAGCCCGGAGAUGGAUUCUGAGACACGAAUCCAGGCCCUACGGGGUGCAGCAGGCGCGAAACCUUUACAAUGUGCGAAAGCAUGAUAAGGGAACUCCGAGUGCCAGUAUCUAAUACUGGCUGUCCUUGUGCCUAAAACGCACAAGAUAGCAAGGGCCGGGUAAGACCGGUGCCAGCCGCCGCGGUAACACCGGCGGCCCGAGUGGUAGCCGCUAUUAUUGGGUCUAAAGGGUCCGUAGCCGGUUCGAUAAGUCCUCUGGGAAAUCUGGUUGCUUAACAAUCAGACUGCCAAGGGAUACUGUCGAACUUGAGACCGGGAGAGGUAAGAGGUACUUCAGGGGUAGGAGUGAAAUCUUGUAAUCCCUGGGGGACCAUCUGUGGCGAAGGCGUCUUACCAGAACGGGUCUGACGGUGAGGGACGAAAGCUGGGGGCGCAAACCGGAUUAGAUACCCGGGUAGUCCCAGCCGUAAACGAUGCUCGCUAUGUGUCAGGUACGGUGUGACCGUAUCUGGUGCCGUAGGGAAGCCGUGAAGCGAGCCACCUGGGAAGUACGGCCGCAAGGCUGAAACUUAAAGGAAUUGGCGGGGGAGCACUACAACGGGUGGAGCCUGCGGUUUAAUUGGAUUCAACGCCGGG
Molecule: ribosomal RNA, 921 nt
Filed under: uncultured archaeon
Lineage: Archaea
Description: bacterial SSU rRNA
Rfam family: Archaeal small subunit ribosomal RNA
Source: RNAcentral